ACGGGAGGCAGCAGUGAGGAAUAUUGGUCAAUGGGCGGAAGCCUGAACCAGCCAAGUCGCGUGAAGGAUGAAGGUUCUAUGGAUUGUAAACUUCUUUUGUUCGAGGGUAAAGUGAGUCACGUGUGGCUUAUUGCAAGUAUCGAACGAAUAAGCAUCGGCUAACUCCGUGCCAGCAGCCGCGGUAAUACGGAGGAUGCGAGCGUUAUCCGGAUUUAUUGGGUUUAAAGGGUGCGUAGGCGGGAUGUUAAGUCAGCGGUCAAAUUGUGUAGCUCAACUAUACCGAGCCGUUGAAACUGGCGUUCUUGAGUGUAAACGAGGUAGGCGGAAUGUGACGUGUAGCGGUGAAAUGCUUAGAUAUGGCGAAGAACUCCGAUUGCGUAGGCAGCUGACCAGGCCGUAAAUGACGCUCAUGCACGAAAGUGCGGGGAUCGAACAGGAUUAGAUACCCUGGUA
Molecule: ribosomal RNA, 453 nt
Filed under: uncultured Porphyromonadaceae bacterium
Lineage: Bacteria; Pseudomonadati; Bacteroidota; Bacteroidia; Bacteroidales; Porphyromonadaceae
Description: partial 16S ribosomal RNA
Rfam family: Bacterial small subunit ribosomal RNA
Source: RNAcentral